This 505-nucleotide ribosomal RNA is filed under the name uncultured bacterium. Its description in RNAcentral is "partial 16S ribosomal RNA". It matches the Rfam family "Bacterial small subunit ribosomal RNA", at positions 28 to 507 of the family's 1533-position model. The record is from RNAcentral.
GACGAACGCUGGCGGCGUGCCUAAUACAUGCAAGUAGAACGCACAGUUUAUACCGUAGCUUGCUACACCAUAGACUGUGAGUUGCGAACGGGUGAGUAACGCGUAGGUAACCUGCCUGGUAGCGGGGGAUAACUAUUGGAAACGAUAGCUAAUACCGCAUAAUAUUAAUUAUUGCAUGAUAAUUAAUUGAAGGGUGCAAUUGCACCACUACCAGAUGGACCUUCGUUGUAUUAGCUAGUAGGUGAGGUAACGGCUCACCUAGGCGACGAUACAUAGCCGACCGGAGAGGGUGGGCGGCCACACUGAGAGGGAGACCCGGCACAGACGGCUUGGGGAGGCAGCAGUAGGGAAUCUGCGGCAAUGGACGAAAGUCUGACCGAGCAACGCCGCGUGAGUGAAGAAGGUUUUCGGAUCGUAAAGCUCUGUUGUAAGAGAAGAACGGGUGUGAGAGUGGAAAGUUCACACUGUGACGGUAUCUUACCAGAAAGGGACGGCUAACUACGUG